UACGUAGGGGGCAAGCGUUAUCCGGAUUUACUGGGUGUAAAGGGAGCGUAGACGGCAUGGCAAGCCAGAUGUGAAAUACCGGGGCUCAACCCCGGGACUGCAUUUGGAACUGUUAAGCUGGAGUGUCGGAGAGGCAGGCGGAAUUCCUAGUGUAGCGGCGAAAUGCGUAGAUAUUAGGAGGAACACCAGUGGCGAAGGCGGCCUGCUGGACGAUAACUGACGUUGAGGCUCGAAAGCGUGGGGAGCAAACAGG
Molecule: ribosomal RNA, 253 nt
Filed under: uncultured bacterium
Lineage: Bacteria
Description: partial 16S ribosomal RNA
Rfam family: Bacterial small subunit ribosomal RNA
Source: RNAcentral